UUUAGGAUUAGGAUACUUGUGAGCUUCUUGCCGGGGAGGAAAUUUAUGGACUGUUUUAGGUUCGGACAGCCUUGUAGUGGGGGGUUGGUCCUUGUUUUUGGGCCAACCCAAAGAUGGUUGAACCAUAUCUUUGCUCCUCGGCCAACCCGAGGUUGAUGGUCCCUUUGCCUUGAACGACGACCUCUCUUUAAGCUCCCUUUCAAUCUCAAGAGCUGCUUGGAAAAUCCCUUCAACGGUAUCAAACUUGUGAAGCGUCAAAUGAGUGGAGAUCUCUUUGUUCAACCCACACUUGAACUGAAUGAUGUCAUGGCCAAUUUGUUCUCC
This 324-nucleotide long non-coding RNA is filed under the name Capsicum annuum. Its description in RNAcentral is "long non-coding RNA (CANN_LNC018969)". The record is from RNAcentral. Lineage: Eukaryota; Viridiplantae; Streptophyta; Magnoliopsida; Solanales; Solanaceae.